UUGCUUUUUGGCACAAGAAAACAUAUCUGUGAAUUUGAUCCACCAUAAUCAGGACAUCUGGAUACUUUUAAAAGAGCCAGCGAUGAUUCAGAGCUUCUAAUAUACCAAUCCAAAAGCUUAUCUGGGAAUUACUUUGUUUAAACAGUAAACUCCACUGGUUUCUUUAAAAAAUAAGGUCAUACAUGUGUCAACUUUACAUUAGGGUUUUUCUAGACGUCAUUAUCCUCACUUGACCACACGAGGUUGCUGUUCUACUGGUGGAUACUUCACGUGUGACAGAGAGAAAUAAACCAACAGUCUGAAAUCAUGCUGACUGCUGAUUUGCUCACUUUGAAAUUACAGACUUGAACACUCAAAAGACAAACCUGUAAGAGUUUUUUUUAUUAUUUCUAUUUCUGGUGAAAGUGCUGAGAGAUGGGGAAGUGCUUCCUGCCAAAGUCAUGCUCACUUCAACUUCUCUUUUUUAGUGGUUUUGACUAAAGCUCCAGCAACUGGACAUCAUAGACGGAUCUGCCUCUUUGUGACUCUUUAUGAAUAAUGAAAACUUGCAGCAAAUCACCCAUCAUACUUCUGAAGCUGAUUUACAUCGCAUUACUCCCAGCACUUUUUGAGGCACAAGAAGUCAAAGUCAAGCCUGAAGUGACGGGAUACCUCGGGCAUGAUGUCACCCUGCCAUGCCAAUUCAUCCCAGGACCAGGAGGCGACAAUAUUACUCAGUUUCAGUGGAAUCUCGAAACACCAGAAGGAGAGAAAAUACUCAGUGUUUCUAGUGUUCAAUUUGGAGUUAAUGUUCAUGAAUCAUUUCUUAAGGAGAGAGUGGAGAUUACAGAACAAUCUUUGAUCAUUAGAAACGUGGAAAUGGGAGAUGCAGGGUCGUACACCUGCACAUUUUCAACCUUUCCCAGUGGUUCAUUUGAAGGAACGACCAAACUUGUUGUUCGAAAACAGAUGCCCUUAUCAUCAGGGGUGGUGUCUGCUAUAGUGAUUGCUGUCAUGUUGCUGUUAGUGAUCAUGGCAGCCAUAGUUUACCUUGUCUUCAUCAGAAGACGUCAUCCGACGGUCAGGCACCGUGUCUACAUUGAUACAGGUGGUCCAGUGAUGGAUGUGGCCAGGCCAUCUGUUCUUGUGAGAGACGAGGAUGUGGUCUACUCUGACGUCAAGCGCAAACCAUUCAGAGAUACUACACCUUCUUCCAAUGAGGAACACACAGUGGAUGAUGUCACGUACUCCGAGGUCGUAGUUUGGCGUCAGCAGCCCAAAUGUACUCUAAAGUGAUGAUAAAGUUCUCUUUCAUAUACUUGCUGAAGGCAAAAAAAACACUUCAAACUGCUGUAUGCAAGUUGCAUUUACCACAAUUUUGGUAUCAUUUAGUGAAAUCAGCAUAUCGACUGAGGAAAAAUCAGGAGUCCGCCAGGAUUCAUCCUCUGGGGACCAUGAAUGUGGGUAUAAAAUUUAAUCGCAAACCGUCUUGUAGUUGUGGUGCAGCUAUCACCACACGUUUGAUGCUAUUUGGUUUUAAAUAUUGCAGGUCAGAAUAGUACAAACCAGCACACCUACAACACGUCAUCAAGGUAAAAAAAAAAAUCUUUUACCUUGUCAUUCUGUGCAGUGGAAAAACACUCGCACCGUGACAACAUGGCUUGCGUGUUCACAGUAGAUCUCGUCACGCAAAGUUCCUAUUCCUCCUUCGCAGACCAUCAAAGGAGGAAGACAAAAAAAGGAAGACAAAAAAGGAAAAUGACACAAUCAAAAAGGGAACCAACUCAGCAAUGCAACACUAGUAUAGCGUGUUAAUGAUGUCAAGAGCUGAAGGUGCCAAUAGAGACUUUAACAGUUGCUCAAUAUCUGCAGUAAAUGUAACUUUCUAGACUCCCAUUUUAUUGUGAUUCAACCUCUUGCUUUAACCCAGCGUUUGCAUGCAAGCCUUUUUUUAGGGUUACAGGAUUUAUGAGUCAGAGAGGAAGGGUGGAGUUAUUGUGGUUUUACUUAAUAAUUUUUACUUGACUUUCCUAAUUCUGUCCAUUUGUUCAAACUUGCCUGCAGCAGCUUCAAAUAUCAAAAACAAUAAUUGCAUAUUAUGAUACAAUACUAUAUGUAUUCUAACAGCACAUAUACUGGUAAUAGUUGUUGUAGUAGUAUUUUACCCAAUCCAGUAUUGUCUGCUUUGGGUCUGUUGUGCAGAACAUUUCUCAAUCUCAGAAUCCUGUUCGCAGCUGUUGCAGUCUGAGCGUGACUUAUGUAAAAAAGGUGACAAAAUAUGGUUUGCAAAGUUGCUGUAAUGAUGCACACCAUCAGUGAACAUUACCAACUGUCACCGUCUGUUACCUGCUGGUGUUCAACAGCAUUUCCUGACACCCAGUUUGUGGGUGUGAGAUUAUAUCUGCGUAUGUACAGUCACUUUGUGUUGUCAGAACAUGGACAUUUUUUGUUGUAUAAAAAUGUUAACUUAAGGGCUCAUUUCAUUGUUCAUUUUCUGUUAAAUGUACCUGCAGACAAGCAAGUAGACAGUCAGAGCCGACAGACACACAGGACGUUUUGUAAGUGGCUUCUAUUGCUUAAUAAAUGUGUACCUUUUCACAGAUCUUAUCAAAUACAUGGUUUCUCAUUGUUGUCACAUACUUUAGAGUUCUGGUUUUGCAGGAAAUAGAUAAGAAACAUUGCUGUUUGAAGGGAGUGCAUUAUUAAAGUAUUUCCACAGCAGCCAUCAGAUUACUCAGACAUAAGAAGAAAAAUGCAGAUACGUGUCACUUUAGAACUAUAAAGAAUGGACGAGCCACACAUUAUUCAUGAGCUAUCUUGUUAAGAAGUUAAACUCUGAGAACAAACGAUACACAAGAAUGGACAUUGUGGAAGGGAUGAUGUGCAAAUUGGCAGUUUCUUGCAUUUAAAAAAAAGCAAUUUAAUCGAUUGUUCAAAACACUCACUCCAAGCCAUUUGUAGUUGUUUUGUGUCCCUUUGUACAACAAAGAAUUGUGGUCAUUUUGUGUCUCUGUGUUCACUUUGAGUCUUUUUGUGGUGCUUUGAGACUCUCUAUGGAUAUUUUGCAUCUUUGUGGUCAUAUUGUGUCUGUCUGUAGCCCUUUUGCGCCUCUCUGUGGACAUUGUGCGUAUCGCUGUGGCCAUUUUGCGUCUCCCUGUGGACGUUUUGAGUCUCUGUGGUUGUUUUGCGUGUCUUUAUGGUUGUUUUGAGUCUCAGAGGAUGCUUUGUGUCUCUUUACGGUCGUUUUGCAUCUCUGUGAUUGUUUUGCGUCUCUCUGGUUGUUUUACGUGUCUUUGUGGUCAAUUUGUGUCUCUGUGGAUGCAUUGCGUCUCUUUCUCGUCGUUUUGAUUCUCUCUGUGGUCGUUUUGGGUCUCUUUGUGGUUGUUUUGUGUGUCUUUGUGGUUGUUUUGAGUCUCUUUACGGUCGUUUUGCAUCUCUUUGCAGUCAUUUUGCAUCUCUUUGCAGUCAUUUUGCAUCUCUUUGCAGUCGUUUUGCAUCUUUGUGGCUCUUUUUCAUCCCUGUGUUUGUUUUGCGUCUCUCUGAUUGUUUUACGUCUCUCUGUGGUCGUUUUGCGUCGCUAUGUGGUAAAUUCGUGGUUGUUUUGCGUCUCUAAUUUGAUUGAAUUUCCAACAAGAAAUGUUAACAGUCACUUCUUCCAGAGACUCAGGUUCAGGGUCCCCGGGCCUGUACCUGGUAGUCCUGUUCAGUAAUCCGUCCGUAAUACUAAUAAACCACCUACCUCACCUUCCUACUUUAGUAUGGGGAGUAACAGAUUUGGCCAAGUCAUAUUCUUAUACAGACAGCAUUAAAUGUUUUCUGUUGUUAUGUUAAAGUGAGUGAGUGUGUGUGUGUUUGUCUCAGUUGUCCGUCAGAUGUGGUGGUUAAUCGCUGAAGUCUCCUUGAUGAUAACUUGAUAUAUGUAAAUGGUUAAAUUCUUGAAUAAAAUAAAUUGGAAAUGAGAGAUUUUGAUGGAACACUUAAUGGCACAAUGUUUUAAAAAUAUCUGCUAUAGUGAAAGUGUUUGUAAAGGAUUGUAGCUGUGAGUGUGUUGUGGAGAAGGGAUUUGAUUCUGCAUGUUUUGAUAAGCUCUAAAACAAUAGUGGUAGAGGAAGUAUUACUAUUGUUGCUGUUAUUGUGAACUGAACAAGAACUUACGUUUGCACCAUUGGAAGGUUAAAUGAAUUAGAUUAAAAUGUUUAAUUCAUAAGAAAUGUAUCUCGCAGACCUAAAUGUUUUAUAAAAGUUACAGUAAAAGCAUAUUGUUGAUGUUGCUUUACAUUACAAGUUUACCCUAGAUGUGACUACUCUUCCCUUUGCAUUAAGGUCUGAAUCUUAGUGAUGUCUUGCUUUCUUGUUUCACAUCAGACAGUGUAUCGCCACAGAAGACUUUCUAUGAAAGCUAAAGGAAAUGAACUCCCAUCCAUAAUUGAGCGUUAAGGAAACACCACCCUGAUAAAGGCAAGAUAGCUGAAAAUGUUUGACAUGGUCUCACGGACUGGUCUGCACCAGAGAGCUCGAGUGUGCAUUCUCAAAAUUAGCCAUAAGGAAACAUCAUAUUUUGUAAAUCCACCUUAUUUUAGAGACAUACAAGUCUAAUAUUAUCAAUUAACUCAACAACACAGGAGCGCUUCUAUGCACAUCAUCAUUUGGCCACAUGAGGUCACUGUGCUACUGGAGGUUAUUAAUGGCAAAACAUGAAGGAAUGAACCACAGGAAAUCAUGACGACUAGUGAAUUGCAGUUAUAAGACGAGAAAACACACAUAGGUCAGGGUUUAUUUUGUUGACCUGAAGAUGUGCGUAAUGAAAAUUUGCAGCAGAUGCCAUGUUCUUCUGUGGUUCAUUUACAUCACGAUCCCAGUUUUUGAGGCACAAGAAGUCAAAGUCUGGCCUGAAGUGACGGGAUACCUCGGGCAGGAUGUCACCCUGCCAUGCCAAUUCAUCCCAGGACCAAGAGGCGGCAAUAUUACUCAGAUUCUGUGGGAUCUCGAAACACCAGAAGGAGAGAAAAUACUCAUUAGUGUUUCUAGUGUUCAAUUUGGAGUUAAUGUUCAUGAAUCAUUUCUUAAGGAGAGAGUGGAGAUUGCAGAACAAUCUUUGAUCAUUAGAAACGUGGAAAUGGGAGAUGCAGGGUCGUACACCUGCACAUUUUCAACCUUUCCCAGUGGUUCAUUUGAAGGAACGACCAAACUUGUUGUUCGAGAAGCGCCAAAAGCGAUGCCGAUAUUACCAAGAAUGAUUGCUGCUGGAGUAUUCGUGCUGAUAGUUGUGACCAUGCUUGCCACAACUUACUUUAUCAUCAUCAGAAUAAGACGUGGCGCUUCGGUCAAGCAACGUGUCUGCACGGAUACAGACGGCACAGUGAUGUGUGAUUGAAAGCGAAGAGGGUCUACCCUGAAGACAAGCUCAAAUCAUCCAGAGAUGUUACACCUUCAUCCAAAAACGCUGCUUCUGAUGCUUCUGAUGUCACAUGCUUCAAAGUGAGAGAGAGAGAGAUGUGGACUAAAGUAAUAAUGAAUUCUGUCUUUUACUUUUAAAGUUGUUUUACUGUAAGUUGCAUUAACCACCAUUUUGGGAACAUUUAGUAAACCUGUCAUCACAUCCUGAUAUAAGUCAAUCAACUGCUCCUUAAAAAAUAAUAAGGCCCAUGUUAUUCUAUAUUUUUCUUAUUGUCAACAAAUCCCAUCAAAGGACCAAAAGCAAUAAGGUGUUUUUUUUUAAGCAAAUGUUACUCAAACAUGAAUAAAUGCUGCAUUUGUUGGUAAAGUAUUUUCAGCUGCGGAUUAAUACACGUUAUUUACAGUAACAUGUCUAUGUGAGUGAGAUUGACUCAAAAUAGACAAUGCCAGUGUUCAUUAUAAUGUAACAGUGUGGUUCAUAUCUGUCUUUAUUAGUUUUUGGACAACAAUAGAUCAAUGUUGUUUUUGGUCUUUUCAUGAGAUUUGAUGACAAUAACAAAAAUGUAGAAUAUUUUCACCUUUAAUCUUAAAA
Molecule: RNA transcript, 5968 nt
Organism: Sebastes umbrosus (honeycomb rockfish)
Lineage: Eukaryota; Metazoa; Chordata; Actinopteri; Perciformes; Sebastidae
Gene name: nectin-4-like
Exons: 13
Source: RefSeq, a predicted model, not a curated record